AUACGGAGGGGGCUAGCGUUGUUCGGAAUUACUGGGCGGAAAGGGCGCGUAGGCGGUUACUUAAGUCAGAUGUGAAAGCCCCGGGCUCAACCUGGGAACGGCAUUUGAAACUGAGUGACUUGAGUAUAGUAGAGGAGAGUGGAAUUCCACAUGUAGCGGUGAAAUGCGUAGAUAUGUGGAGGAACAUCAGUGGCGAAGGCGACUCUCUGGCCUAAUACUGACGCUGAGGUGCGAAAGCGUGGGGAGCAAACAGGAUUAGAAACCCCAGUAGUCC
This 274-nucleotide ribosomal RNA is filed under the name uncultured bacterium. RNAcentral's name for it is "partial 16S ribosomal RNA". It matches the Rfam family "Bacterial small subunit ribosomal RNA", at positions 523 to 796 of the family's 1533-position model. The record is from RNAcentral.